CACGUAGUUGGCCGGGGCUUCUUCUACUCCUACCGUCACUUGCGCUUCGUCGGGGCUGAAAGAGGUUUACAACCCGAAGGCCGUCAUCCCUCACGCGGCGUCGCUGCAUCAGGCUUGCGCCCAUUGUGCAAUAUUCCCCA
RNAcentral lists this ribosomal RNA (140 nucleotides) under uncultured bacterium. RNAcentral describes it as "partial 16S ribosomal RNA". The record is from RNAcentral.